UAUAAAGUAGCAAAUUAUCGUUCCUGAAUAGGUGGCGCCGUGGUAGCCGAUCCUGUUCCUCAACUUCCUGUUUCUGCACUGUGCAACUAUUUCAGUUACAUUUUAAAUUAACGAUGCCAAGUACUUGUUGUUGUGUACCUGGAUGUCAUUUAAGAGAAGGACAUGCAUUUCCAAAUGACUUAAAAAGAAGGAAAAGUUGGAUCAACGCCAUGGCCCAAACGCAGAUUGGACGAGAACACGAUUUCAUCGUGGAGUCCAUCUCAAUCAGCUGUUGUUUGCAAGGCACAUUUUACUGAAAAAGACUACGUGCAGGAAACUAUUCAUGGGCGCAAACCCACCAUACAGAGACCUAAGUCUACUGCCAUUCCCAGCCUAUUUUCCUGGACCAAGCAAGAGACUGAAUCGUCCGCAAAAAGAAAAAUCAGGGCAGUUUCCUGUGAAAACAAAAGAACUAAACUUGAUGAAUAUUGUAGUAGAAAUCUAGAGGAAAGUUUUGAUUGUAAAGUUGGUUUUCCUGAAGAAGUCAUUCAUACUGCAGAAAGGAUUUAUGACUGUCCACCACCAACUGCUGAGCUAAUGUUGAGCUUCAAAGAUGGAAGUACGCAAACACCAUCAAUGUCUAUGUUUUCAGCAGAGAAUUUUGAAAUGAAGACACGUGACACAGCCAUGCAUUUUUAUACCAUUUAAGAGUUGUAUACUAAAUUUUUAUUUGUUUUGACCACACUUGGUCCAACAGCACAUUGUUUGAGAUACAUAUAUUUUCAAAUUGAUAGGGCGUCAGUUGAAAAUCAGUUUUUUUAUGACUUUGAUGAAAUUGAGGCAUUAUACAACCAACUUUGAACUUUCUAGAUUCUAGAUUGAAUCUAGUGUUAAGAAUAUUGUGUAUAUACAUGGAUUGUUUUUAUGCCUAAACAGUGGUGUGAGGCUAACACUUGGCCAUCUAGUGGGUUAGUCAGGCAUUUUUCGCCAUCCAACUUCAAAUUAAAGUUUCCUAAGACUUGGAUUAUUAUUGACAGCACAGAAUAUCCCGUGAUAAAACUAAAGCUCCUAGAGCUCAGGCAACCUUUUCAUCAUAUAAAAACAGAAACACUGAAAAUACUUGUAUGUUCGACGCCUGGUGGUUUAGUCAACUAUGUCUCUACUGCAUAUGUUGGUUCUACCAGUGACUAUGAAAUAGUUGAAAGAUGUAGAAUACAAAAUGUAGUUCAGUUAUGUGAUCCAGGUGACAGUGUGAUGGCAGACAAAGGUUUAAAUGUGCAAGAUUUGUUUGCUAACUUUUUUCAAAAAAAGAAACAGAAUUAGUUCCAAAACUCUUAUACGGGAUAGAAAAGUCUCCAAUUAACAUGUGCACAUAGAGCGAAUUAUUGGACUUGGCAAAACAUACAAAAUUCUAACAAAUCCUACAUGUAUGAAUGGAACUGAAACAAAACUUUCAUCUGAAAUAACAUUUAGUUGUUUUAUGUUGUGUAAUUUUAAAACUUGUAUUGUGCCAAAGGAUGCAGAAAUAAAAGUGACGCAAUGAA
Molecule: long non-coding RNA, 1523 nt
Organism: Mytilus californianus (California mussel)
Lineage: Eukaryota; Metazoa; Mollusca; Bivalvia; Mytilida; Mytilidae
Exons: 2
Source: RefSeq, a predicted model, not a curated record